This 72-nucleotide transfer RNA is filed under the name Aeoliscus strigatus (razorfish). RNAcentral's name for it is "tRNA-Trp". It matches the Rfam family "tRNA". Rfam says of the family: Transfer RNA (tRNA) molecules are approximately 80 nucleotides in length. Their secondary structure includes four short double-helical elements and three loops (D, anti-codon, and T loops). The record is from RNAcentral. Lineage: Eukaryota; Metazoa; Chordata; Actinopteri; Syngnathiformes; Centriscidae.
AGAGACUUAGGAUAACAACCAGACCAAGAGCCUUCAAAGCCCUAAGCGAGGGUGAAAACCCCUCAGUCUCUG